UAAAGGCCAACGAGAUGACCAUGCUG
RNAcentral lists this non-coding RNA (26 nucleotides) under Mus musculus (house mouse). Lineage: Eukaryota; Metazoa; Chordata; Mammalia; Rodentia; Muridae. The record is from RNAcentral.